UACGGAGGGAGCUAGCGUUGUUCGGAAUUACUGGGCGUAAAGCGCGCGUAGGCGGCUUUGUAAGUUAGAGGUGAAAGCCCGGGGCUCAACUCCGGAACUGCCUUUAAGACUGCAUCGCUUGAAUCCGGGAGAGGUGAGUGAAAUUCCGAGUGUAGAGGUGAAAUUCGUAGAUAUUCGGAAGAACACCAGUGGCGAAGGCGGCUCACUGGACCGGUAUUGACGCUGAGGUGCGAAAGCGUGGGGAGCAAACAGG
This 253-nucleotide ribosomal RNA is filed under the name uncultured bacterium. Its description in RNAcentral is "partial 16S ribosomal RNA". It matches the Rfam family "Bacterial small subunit ribosomal RNA", at positions 524 to 776 of the family's 1533-position model. The record is from RNAcentral.